This 295-nucleotide ribosomal RNA is filed under the name uncultured bacterium. RNAcentral describes it as "partial 16S ribosomal RNA". It matches the Rfam family "Bacterial small subunit ribosomal RNA", at positions 29 to 349 of the family's 1533-position model. The record is from RNAcentral.
AACGAACGCUGGCGGCAGGCUUAACACAUGCAAGUCGAACGGUUGUAGCAAUACAGCAGUGGCAGACGGGUGGGUAACACGUGGGAACCUUCCUAGGGGUACGGAACAACUCAGGGAAACUUGAGCUAAUACCGUAUACGUCCGUGAGGAGAAAGAUUUAUCGCCCUUAGACGGGCCCGCGUAGGAUUAGGUAGUUGGUGGGUAAUGGCCUACCAAGCCUACGAUCCUUAGCUGAUCUGAGAGGANGAUCAGCCACACUGGGACUGAGACACGGCCCGGACGUCCUACGGGAGGC